GUCUAUAUAGAUUAUAUUUAAAUCGUGAUGCUGUUAACUUCAAGAAGAGAUUUAUUCUCUAUAGUCG
RNAcentral lists this transfer RNA (67 nucleotides) under Acanthobothrium sp. MZUSP 8033. Its description in RNAcentral is "tRNA-Asn". RNAcentral also lists the same sequence under 2 other names. The record is from RNAcentral. Lineage: Eukaryota; Metazoa; Platyhelminthes; Cestoda; Tetraphyllidea; Onchobothriidae.